UAGGGAAUAUUAGAAAUGGACGAAAGUCUGAUCUAGCAACACCGCGUGUGCGAAGAAGGCCUUCGGGUUGUCAAGCCCUUUUUGGAAGGAUUAGGAAGGAAUGUACUUCCAGAAUAAGUCUCGGCUAACUACGUGCCAGCAGCCGCGGUAACACGUAGGAGGCAACCGUUAUCCGGAUUUACUGGGCGUAAAGCGCGUGUAGGUGGUUCGGUAAGUAGGGCGGGAAAGCUCCUGGCUCAACUGGGAGAGGCCGUUCUAAACUGCAGAGCUAGAGGAUGGUAGAGGGAUGUGGAAUUCCGGGUGUAGCGGUGGAAUGCGCAGAUAUCCGGAGGAACACCAGUGGCGAAAGCGGCCUCCUGGACCAUUCCUGACACUCAGACGCGAAAGCUAGGGUAGCAAACG
Molecule: ribosomal RNA, 402 nt
Filed under: uncultured prokaryote
Description: bacterial SSU rRNA
Rfam family: Bacterial small subunit ribosomal RNA
Source: RNAcentral